UAGGGAAUCUUCCACAAUGGACGCAAGUCUGAUGGAGCAACGCCGCGUGAGUGAAGAAGGUCUUCGGAUCGUAAAGCUCUGUUGUUGGUGAAGAAGGAUAGAGGCAGUAACUGGUCUUUAUUUGACGGUAAUCAACCAGAAAGUCACGGCUAACUACGUGCCAGCAGCCGCGGUAAUACGUAGGUGGCAAGCGUUGUCCGGAUUUAUUGGGCGUAAAGCGAGCGCAGGCGGAAUGAUAAGUCUGAUGUGAAAGCCCGACGGCUCAACCGUGGAACUGCAUCGGAAACUGUCAUUCUUGAGUGCAGAAGAGGAGAGUGGAACUCCAUGUGUAGCGGUGGAAUGCGUAGAUAUAUGGAAGAACACCAGUGGCGAAGGCGGCUCUCUGGUCUGCAACUGACGCUGAGGCUCGAAAGCAUGGGUAGCGAACAGGAUUAGAUACCCUGGUAGUCCAUGCCGUAAACGAUGAGCGCUAGGUGUUGGG
Molecule: ribosomal RNA, 481 nt
Filed under: uncultured bacterium
Lineage: Bacteria
Description: partial 16S ribosomal RNA
Rfam family: Bacterial small subunit ribosomal RNA
Source: RNAcentral